RNAcentral lists this ribosomal RNA (16 nucleotides) under Teucrium lamiifolium subsp. lamiifolium. RNAcentral's name for it is "partial 28S ribosomal RNA". The record is from RNAcentral. Lineage: Eukaryota; Viridiplantae; Streptophyta; Magnoliopsida; Lamiales; Lamiaceae.
AGGUCAGGCGGGACUA